RNAcentral lists this ribosomal RNA (890 nucleotides) under uncultured bacterium. RNAcentral's name for it is "bacterial SSU rRNA". It matches the Rfam family "Bacterial small subunit ribosomal RNA", at positions 28 to 896 of the family's 1533-position model. The record is from RNAcentral.
AACGAACGCUGGCGGCGUGCUUAACACAUGCAAGUCGAACGGAUCAAGGGGCUUGCUCCUUGAUUAGUGGCGCACGGGUGAGUAACGCGUGGAUAAUCUGCCCGACGAUCUGGGAUAACAUCUCGAAAGGGGUGCUAAUACCGGAUAAGCCCACGGGGUCUUCGGAUCUUGCGGGAAAAGAGGGGGACCUUCGGGCCUCUUGUCGUCGGAUGAGUCCGCGUACCAUUAGCUAGUUGGCGGGGUAAAGGCCCACCAAGGCUACGAUGGUUAGCUGGUCUGAGAGGAUGAUCAGCCACACUGGAACUGAGACACGGUCCAGACUCCUACGGGAGGCAGCAGUGGGGAAUUUUGCGCAAUGGGGGAAACCCUGACGCAGCAACGCCGCGUGAGUGAUGAAGGCCUUCGGGUCGUAAAGCUCUGUCUAGAGGAAAGAAGUGUGGGGCGGCUAAUAUCCGCUUCACUUGACGGUACCUCUGAAGGAAGCACCGGCUAACUCCGUGCCAGCAGCCGCGGUAAUACGGAGGGUGCGAGCGUUGUUCGGAUUUAUUGGGCGUAAAGCGCGUGUAGGCGGUUUCUUAAGUCUGAUGUGAAAGCCCCGGGCUCAACCUGGGAAGUGCAUUGGAUACUGGGAGACUUGAAUACGGGAGAGGGUAGUGGAAUUCCUAGUGUAGGAGUGAAAUCCGUAGAUAUUAGGAGGAACACCGGUGGCGAAGGCGGCUACCUGGACCGAUAUUGACGCUGAGACGCGAAAGCGUGGGUAGCAAACAGGAUUAGAUACCCUGGUAGUCCACGCCGUAAACGAUGAGAACUAGGUGUUGCGGGUAUUGACCCCUGCAGUGCCGCAGCUAACGCAUUAAGUUCUCCGCCUGGGAAGUACGGUCGCAAGACUA